RNAcentral lists this non-coding RNA (957 nucleotides) under Tragulus kanchil. Its description in RNAcentral is "12S ribosomal RNA". It matches the Rfam family "Bacterial small subunit ribosomal RNA". The record is from RNAcentral. Lineage: Eukaryota; Metazoa; Chordata; Mammalia; Artiodactyla; Tragulidae.
CACAGGUUUGGUCCUGGCCUUUCCGUUGACUCUAGACAGAAUUACACAUGCAAGCAUCCACACUCUCGUGAGAAUGCCCCAAGGGUCUACAAGACACAAAGGAGCAGGCAUCAAGCACGCCAAUAGGGCAGCUCAUGACGCCUUGCCUAGCCACACCCCCACGGGAAACAGCAGUGAUAGAAAUUAAGCCAUGAACGAAAGUUUGACUAAGUUAUGUCAAAUAGGGUUGGUAAACUUCGUGCCAGCCACCGCGGCCAUACGAUUGACCCGAGUUAACGGACAUACGGCGUAAAGCGUGUUAAAGAGAACAGACAAAAUAAGAUUAAAUUUUGAUUAAGAUGUAAAAAGCCACAAUCAAAUCAUAAAUAAACGACGAAAGUGAUCUUAUCACAUACAGACACACGAUAGCUAAGACCCAAACUGGGAUUAGAUACCCCACUAUGCUUAGCCCUAAACAUAAAUAGCUAGUUAAACAAAGCUAUUCGCCAGAGAACUACUAGCUACAGCUUAAAACUCAAAGGACUUGGCGGUGCUUUAUACCCCCUUAGAGGAGCCUGUUCUGUAAUCGAUAAACCCCGAUAAACCUCACCAACCCUUGCCAAUUCAGCCUAUAUACCGCCAUCUUCAGCAAACCCUAAAAAGGAACAAAAGUAAGCUUAAUAAUUAUGCAUAAAAACGUUAGGUCAAGGUGUAGCCAAUGGGAUGGGAAGAAAUGGGCUACAUUUUCUACCCACAAAGAACACACGAAAGUUCUCAUGAAACUGACAACCAAAGGAGGAUUUAAUAGUAAGCUAGGAAUAGAGUGCUUAGCUGAACUAGGCUAUGAAGCACGCACACACCGCCCGUCACCCUCCUCAAGUACACCCAAUACCCCCUAAGCCUGCUAACCGGUAUUAAUAAUAUGAGAGGAGACAAGUCGUAACAAGGUAAGUAUACUGGAAAGUGUACUUGGAUAAC